This 253-nucleotide ribosomal RNA is filed under the name uncultured bacterium. RNAcentral describes it as "partial 16S ribosomal RNA". It matches the Rfam family "Bacterial small subunit ribosomal RNA", at positions 524 to 776 of the family's 1533-position model. The record is from RNAcentral.
UACAGAGGGCGCAAGCGUUGUUCGGAUUUACUGGGCGUAAAGCGCGUGUAGGCGGCUUCGCAAGUUGGAUGUGAAAUCCCACGGCUCAACCGUGGACGUGCAUCCAAAACUGCGUCGCUAGAGUAUCGGAGAGGAAGGUGGAAUGCUUGGUGUAGAGGUGAAAUUCGUAGAUAUCGAGCAGAACACCUGCGGCGAAGGCGGCCUUCUGGACGAUGACUGACGCUGAGGCACGAAGGCCAGGGGAGCAAACGGG